Molecule: ribosomal RNA, 721 nt
Filed under: uncultured bacterium
Lineage: Bacteria
Description: bacterial SSU rRNA
Rfam family: Bacterial small subunit ribosomal RNA
Source: RNAcentral
AUUAGAUACCCUGGUAGUCCGCACGGUAAACGAUGGAUGCCCGCCGUUGGGUAUUUUUAUUCAGCGGCCAAGCGAAAGCGUUAAGCAUCCCACCUGGGGAGUACGCCGGCAACGGUGAAACUCAAAGGAAUUGACGGGGGCCCGCACAAGCGGAGGAACAUGUGGUUUAAUUCGAAGCAACGCGAAGAACCUUACCUGGUCUUGACAUCCCAAUGACGAGUGAGCAAAGUCACUUUCCCUUCGGGGCAAUGGAGACAGGUGGUGCAUGGUUGUCGUCAGCUCGUGUCGUGAGAUGUUGGGUUAAGUCCCGCAACGAGCGCAACCCCUAUUUCCAGUAGCCAGCAGGUAGAGCUGGGAACUCUGGAGAGACUGCCCGGGAGAACCGGGAGGAAGGCGGGGAUGACGUCAAAUCAUCAUGCCCCUUAUGAUCAGGGCUACACACGUGCUACAAUGGCGUAAACAAAGGGAAGCGAGACGGUGACGUUAAGCAAAUCCCAAAAAUAACGUCUCAGUUCGGAUUGUAGUCUGCAACUCGACUACAUGAAGCUGGAAUCGCUAGUAAUCGCGAAUCAGAAUGUCGCGGUGAAUACGUUCCCGGGUCUUGUACACACCGCCCGUCACACCAUGGGAGUCAGAAAUGCCCGAAGUCAGUGACCCAACCGAGAGGAGAGAGCUGCCGAAGGUGGAGCUGGUAACUGGGGUGAAGUCGUAACAAGGUACC